This 254-nucleotide ribosomal RNA is filed under the name uncultured bacterium. Its description in RNAcentral is "partial 16S ribosomal RNA". It matches the Rfam family "Bacterial small subunit ribosomal RNA", at positions 524 to 776 of the family's 1533-position model. The record is from RNAcentral.
UACGGGGGGAGCAAGCGUUGUUCGGAUUUACUGGGCGUAAAGGGCGCGUAGGCGGCGUAACAAGUCACUUGUGAAAUCUCUGAGCUUAACUCAGAACGGCCAAGUGAUACUGCAGUGCUAGAGUGCAGAAAGGGCAAUCGGAAUUCUUGGUGUAGCGGUGAAAUGCGUAGAUAUCAAGAGGAACACCUGAGGCGAAGGCGGGUUGCUAGGCUGACACUGACGCUGAGUGCGCGAAAGCCAGGGGAGCAAACGGG